AGCGAACGCUGGCGGCAGGCUUAACACAUGCAAGUCGAACGGGCGUAGCAAUACGUCAGUGGCAGACGGGUGAGUAACACGUGGGAACGUACCUUUUGGUUCGGAACAACUGAGGGAAACUUCAGCUAAUACCGGAUAAGCCCUUACGGGGAAAGAUUUAUCGCCGAAAGAUCGGCCCGCGUCUGAUUAGCUAGUUGGUGGGGUAAGAGCCCACCAAGGCGACGAUCAGUAGCUGGUCUGAGAGGAUGAUCAGCCACAUUGGGACUGAGACACGGCCCAAACUCCUACGGGAGGCAGCAGUGGGAAUAUUGGACAAUGGGCGAAAGCCUGAUCCAGCCAUGCCGCGUGAGUGAUGAAGGCCCUAGGGUUGUAAAAGGCUCUUUUAACGGGGAAGAUAAUGACGGUACCCGUAGAAUAAGCCCGGCUAACUUCGUGCCAGCAG
This 442-nucleotide ribosomal RNA is filed under the name uncultured bacterium. Its description in RNAcentral is "bacterial SSU rRNA". It matches the Rfam family "Bacterial small subunit ribosomal RNA", at positions 29 to 514 of the family's 1533-position model. The record is from RNAcentral.